This 2175-nucleotide ribosomal RNA is filed under the name Haemoproteus columbae. RNAcentral's name for it is "SSU rRNA". It matches the Rfam family "Eukaryotic small subunit ribosomal RNA". The record is from RNAcentral. Lineage: Eukaryota; Apicomplexa; Aconoidasida; Haemosporida; Haemoproteidae.
AAGUAUAUGCAUACUUGAUAUGUAGAAACUGCGAACGGCUCCUUAAAACAGUUAUAAUCUACUUGACAUUUUUAUUUAAAGGGAUAACUACGGAAAAUCUGUAGCUAAUACAUGAACGGAUGUCGAAUUUUUAAUUUGACAGUGUACUUGUUAGUUCUCUUUAAAAAAAGGUUCACAAGGAAUUAUAACAAAGAAGCGACACGCGUCAGUACCUUAGCUGUAUAGACUAGGUGCGUAUCAAUCGAGUUUCUGACCUAUCAGCUUUUGAUGUUAGGGUAUUGGCCUAACAUGGCUGUGACGGGUAACGGGGAAUUGGAGUUCGAUUCCGGAGAGGGAGCCUGAGAAACAGCUACCACAUCUAAGGAAGGCAGCAGGCGCGUAAAUUACCCAAUUCUAAAAAAGAGAGGUAGUGACAAGAAAUACUGAUGUAAGAUCAGUUACUUGAUUUUAUAAUUGGAUUAGAGGGAAUUUAAAAAAUUUCCUGAGCGUAAUUGGAGGGCAAGUCUGGUGCCAGCAGCCGCGGUAAUUCCAGCUCCAAUAGCGUAUAUUAAAACUGUUGCAGUUAAAACGCUCGUAGUUUAUUUUUAAUUAAGAUAAUUCUAAUGGUGUAAAAAAAUAAUGGCGGUAAACUUUACGCAUUCAAUUUAGGAUUCGUAUUGGAUGAGUUGGUUUUAUACCGAUUCUCCAUGGUGUCCUAGCGUUUGUGUAUAUUUAUGCAUUAUUUUCCAUUGUAUCUUAAUUCUUCAAGGAAUAGUAAAGUGGGGUGCUAGUCACAGCCAUGAGUUAUUAUUCCUUAUUGUUACUUUGAGUAAAUUAGAGUGUUCCAAGCAGACAAUUGCUAAUAAGGGUUGCCUUGUUUGAAUACUAUAGCAUGGAAUAACAGAAUUGAACGGGUUUAUUUUUUUUUUAUAGACCUAUUUUUUUAAAAUAAGCCAUAGGAUACGAUUAAUAGGAAUGGUUUGGGGGCAUUUGUAUUCAGAUGCUAGAGGUGAAAUUCUUAGAUUUUCUGGAGACAAACAACUGCGAAAGCAUUUGCCCAGAACAUUUCCAUUAAUCAAGAACGAAAGUUAAGGGAGUGAAGACGAUCAGAUACCGUCGUAAUCUUAACCAUAAACUAUGCCGACUAGGUGUUGGAUGUAUAUCAAAAUAUAUAUAAAGAAGUAAAUAAUGACCUCAGUCUUAUUUCUUCUUUAUUAUAGAAACAUGCUACCUUCAGUACCUUAUGAGAAAUCAAAGUCUUUGGGUUCUGGGGCGAGUAUGAGCGCAAGCUUGAAAGUUAAAAGAAUAGACGGAAGCGCACCACAAAGCGUGGAGCUUGCGGCUUAAUUUGACUCAACACGGGAAACCUCACUAGUGUAAGACAGGAGUAGGAUUGACAGAUUGACUGGUUCUUUCUUGAUUUCCUGGAUGGUGAUGCAUGGCCGUUUCUAGUUCGUGGACUGAUUUGUCUGGUCAAUUCCGAUAACGAGCAAGAUCUCAGCCUGCUAAUUAGCGACGGUUGCAAUAUAAUCUAUAUAAUUUGUAUGAGAAAAACCGAAUAAUGCCUACAAUAAUGUGACAUACUUUUAUGUUGCAUUGGAGUUACCUGUUAUCGAUCUUUUUCUCGUAAGAAUUAAAUAGAUGCAAUCGUUUUAACCAAUGCUUCUUAGAGGGACAUUGUGUGUUUAACAUAAGGAAGUGUGGGGCAACAACAGGUCUGUGAUGUCCUUAGAUAUACUAGGCUGCACGCGUGCUACAAUGAUACAUAAAACGAGAUUAUAACAUAAAAACAAAAAAUUGAAAAGAGGUGUAUAGACAUACGGUUGGAUGUAUAUAUGCAUGAAGUCAGGAAAUUUAUUGUUUCUUGCUUUAUGUUUAUAUAUGUCUUACUGCAUGUUUAUGCAAUAUUCUUUUUUUCUUUUUUUUGUUUUUAUUUUUCCUACACUGAAAAGUGAAGGAGAUCUUAUUCAAUAUGUAUCGUAACGGGGAUAGAGGAUUGCAAUUAUUUCUCUUGAACGAGGAAUGCUUAGUAAGCGUAAUUCAUCAGAUUGCGUUGACUACGUCCCUGCGCUUUGCACUCACCGCCCGUCGUUUCUUUUAAUUGAAAGAUUGGAUGAGUUGUUCGGACAAUAUUUUGUUGAAAUUAUAUUUUAACAAGAUGUUGGAAGAGUCGCGAAUCCUGUCUUUUAAAGAAAG